This 361-nucleotide unclassified non-coding RNA is filed under the name uncultured bacterium. RNAcentral's name for it is "contains 16S-23S intergenic spacer region". The record is from RNAcentral.
UCCGGUCAAAAACCGGCAGUCUCAGCAGACACAUAUAACUGCUGAUGAGGGUUGCGCUCGUUGCGGGACUUAACCCAACAUCUCACGACACGAGCUGACGACAACCAUGCAGCACCUGUGCAUCACCCUCGAAGGAGCCGACUUUCAUCGGGUUGCAGAUGCAUGUCAAACCUGGGUAAGGUUCUUCGCGUUGCGUCGAAUUAAACCACAUGCUCCACCGCUUGUGCGGGCCCCCGUCAAUUCCUUUGAGUUUCAGCCUUGCGGCCGUACUCCCCAGGCGGCGCGCUUACCGCGUUGGCUACGGCACCGAGGGAUUCGACUCCCCCAACACCUAGUGUUCAUCGUUUACGGCAUGGACUAC